AAAACAUGUCUGUUUGAAGGUUUAAAUGGUCUGACCUGCUCACUGACAAAAGUUUAAGAGCCGCGGUAAUUUGACCGUGCAAAGGUAGCAUAAUCAUUAGUUCUUUAAUUGGGAACUUGUAUGAAGGGUUUGACAAAGGAAAUACUGUCUUUAUUAUAAUUAUUGAAAUUAACUUUUAAGUGAAAAGGCUUAAAUAGUUCAGAGGGACGAUAAGACCCUAUAAAGUUUAAUAUAACUAAUAUAAUUGAAGUAAAAUUUUUAAUAUAAAUAUUAAAUUAUUUAUUGUAUUUUAUUGGGGCGAUAAGAAUAUAAGUAAUAUUAACUGUUUAUAUAAAUUAUACAUAAAUAAAUGAUUUAAAAAAUUAAUUGAUCCUUAAGGAGUUAAGAUUAAAAGACUAAAUUACUUUAGGGAUAACAGCGUAAUUUUCUUUGAGAGUUCAUAUCGAAAAGAAAGAUUGCGACCUCGAUGUUGAAUUAAAAUAUCUUUAUAGAGCAGAGUCUAUAAAAGAAGGUCUGUUCGACCUUUAAAUUUUUACGUGA
Molecule: ribosomal RNA, 540 nt
Filed under: Quadrella serenei
Lineage: Eukaryota; Metazoa; Arthropoda; Malacostraca; Decapoda; Trapeziidae
Description: partial 16S ribosomal RNA
Rfam family: Bacterial large subunit ribosomal RNA
Source: RNAcentral